UUGAAUUACUGGCUUACUGCAAUUAAUUUGAUGUGUUUUUCUUCCCUAUUUAACCUGCAUCAUUGUAACCCUACUUGUUCAUCUCACUCUGUCUGUUCUUUGUUCUUUUUUUUUUCCAAUCGCAAGAAUAUAUUUUAUUCAUUUUUUUUCAAUUGAGAGAAUCUGCCUUUGUGAUUGAAGUUCUUCUUUGUUGGAAAUUUCUGGUUUUAUUAGAUACUUAUUUGCUUCUAUAUGCUACUUGAAAGAAUCAGUUUUUGUUCUUGUUGCUGCUGCAUGACUUGAAUCUAUAUUCUUUUGUAUGGAAAAUCAGGUCAAGAGGGAAAAGGUUCGAAUUUGUUCAAAAUAAAUAAUUAGGUAAAUGCAGAUACAACAAGCUACUGAACGUGGAAAUAAAUGUUUUAUUUGUUUCAGGAUCUAAAUUAUUACUUAUUUGAUUCUUAUUUGAAAUUUGCUUUGGCAGUCUCAGUUUCUAUCUAAAUGACUCAGACUAAAUGAAUUCUAAUGAGGUAUAGUUUGCUUGUUUCCCUGAUUUCGUACACUUCUUAGCAUAUGGUAUCUUGUUGUUACAGAUUGAAUCUUCUUCCUUCAUAACAAACUCACCUAUGUGUCUUAAGAUUUUCCGGCAUCAGUUUGGUAAGUUUCCCACUUUGCUAUGUGCUAGUUGCCUUCCAAGUGUUUUUUAUCGUCUCGUGAAUUAUGGCAUAACAUAUGUGCAUCAGUUUUAAACCAUUUAUAGCUAUCUGCCUUGUUAUAGAACUAAAAUUUCAAAAAUGUAUUUGUUGUGGCAAGCAUUCUGCUGGUUUACAUGUCCAAACUCUCCUUACUCACAAAUGAUAAAAAUAGACUUGGCUGGAUUUCUUAGGCAAAAGUUGCAAUGGUGGGUGAGGUUUAGCUAAAGUAGUUAAAAGAAUAAAGUUUUCAUGGUUAACUGUUUGGCCCCGAAAAAAACUGGUAUUGAAAAAUUACAUGUAGAUAAUUAUGUAUGAAGUCCUUUUUUCCUUUUCAGUUUUACUUCGAAGUAAGCUCUCUUACAUUGCGUGUUUAUCCAAACAGUUCCAAUUUCUGUAUGUCUUUACUUUAGCUAGGUUUUAGCCACCUUUGAUAAGUUUUGCCUAAGAAAACCAGUCUGGCCUAUCUACGUCGUUUGUGAAAGAGGAAUGAGUCCCCUUGAAUAUUUUGAACCAGUAAAUGCUUUAUCUGAGGAAUCAGUUUAUGCUGUAAUAUCAUGUAAACAUGUGUGCUAUAAAUUCUUUCAAUUGUUUUUUCUUCCCUCUACCCCUGAAAUCUGGCGAAGCCAGAACAUGAAUAUCACUUCUCAUUUACAAGUUGUAAUAUGUUCAUUUUGUUGUUUAUAACAUAAUUUAUUUAUAAUCCAUCCAUAUUUAGGAUCUUAAACUUGGUUUGCCGUUUGAGUGGCAAGACUAAGAUGUGAAGUUCCUGUUUCUCCUCAUCUUAUUAGAGCCUAGGGAAAAUAUGGAAAGCAUGUUUGACGUCGCAGGUGUCAAGGAUGGAAAUACAAUUAAUUCACCAUGUGUAAAUAUUUUUUGGGAGGAGCUAAACAACAAGAUUCUUUUCGAGCUGCUGAAGAACUGAAGAGUCAGAACGUCAAACCCAAUCUUUUUCCCUCUACUACUCAAAGAGAACGGCAGACUCAGUUGUGAAAGGAUAUGGUUCUUGUCAUUCCUAUCUAUGUCAGACACGAGAUCUUUAACCACUUCCCAUGAUGUUUUCGAGUGAGCGAUACAAAUUUUCCUCCGCCAUGUGUGCAUGGAAGCCUCGACUUUGUCUGCCAGCUCGAGGGCUUCGUGCUCGGAGCUUAUGUUGAGAGAAUCAAGCAGAUGAUUAGGGUAGCCAUGUAUGAUUCUGGGAUCUGCAUUUCAGAAAGAAUGCCACUGUUUAUUGCCAUUGCUGCCUUGUGAAUCUGGCUAGCACGGUCGUGCUUCUGCCUCAGAUGUUUCUUGCUUUUCUCGGAGAGGCCACCAAGGGGGACGCAGGGAACAGGAGCAGCGCGUCGAGUUUCUUCAAGGCUGGGAGGUUGAUGUGAAUGUCUGAUCUUGGCCUGCUUGCCAU
Salvia splendens (bonfire salvia) is the source of this 2070-nucleotide long non-coding RNA. RefSeq lists it as uncharacterized. The transcript has 4 exons. Lineage: Eukaryota; Viridiplantae; Streptophyta; Magnoliopsida; Lamiales; Lamiaceae. The record is from RefSeq and is a predicted model, not a curated record.